Molecule: ribosomal RNA, 275 nt
Filed under: uncultured Lachnospiraceae bacterium
Lineage: Bacteria; Bacillati; Bacillota; Clostridia; Lachnospirales; Lachnospiraceae
Description: partial 16S ribosomal RNA
Rfam family: Bacterial small subunit ribosomal RNA
Source: RNAcentral
AAGACUUCGGUCAAGUUGAACGGAUGACUUAGUGGCGGACGGGUGAGUAACGCGUGGGCAACCUGCCUUGUACAGGGGGAUAACAGUUAGAAAUGACUGCUAAUACCGCAUAAGACCACAGCACCACAUGGUGCAGGGGUAAAAACUGAGGUGGUACAAGAUGGGCCCGCGUCUGAUUAGCUGGUUGGUGAGGUAACGGCUCACCAAGGCGACGAUCAGUAGCCGACCUGAGAGGGUGACCGGCCACAUUGGGACUGAGACACGGCCCAAACUCC